RNAcentral lists this ribosomal RNA (322 nucleotides) under uncultured eukaryote. RNAcentral describes it as "partial 18S ribosomal RNA". It matches the Rfam family "Eukaryotic small subunit ribosomal RNA", at positions 1470 to 1796 of the family's 1831-position model. The record is from RNAcentral.
CCCUUAGAUGUUCUGGGCCGCACGCGUGCUACACUGAUGCAUUCAACGAGUGUACCUUGGCCGAGAGGCCUGGGCAAUCUUUUGAACGUGCAUCGUGAUAGGGAUAGAUUAUUGCAAUUAUUAAUCUUGAACGAGGAAUUCCUAGUAAACGCAGAUCAUCAAUCUGCAUUGAUUACGUCCCUGCCCUUUGUACACACCGCCCGUCGCACCUACCGAUUGGAUGGUCCGGUGAAGCCUCGGGAUUGUGGCGGUUGCCUUUAUUGGUGGCCGCCGCGAGAACUUGUCUAAACCUUAUCAUCUAGAGGAAGGUGAAGUCGUAACA